RNAcentral lists this ribosomal RNA (1425 nucleotides) under Lactiplantibacillus plantarum. RNAcentral's name for it is "bacterial SSU rRNA". It matches the Rfam family "Bacterial small subunit ribosomal RNA". Lineage: Bacteria; Bacillati; Bacillota; Bacilli; Lactobacillales; Lactobacillaceae. The record is from RNAcentral.
UCGAACGAACUCUGGUAUUGAUUGGUGCUUGCAUCAUGAUUUACAUUUGAGUGAGUGGCGAACUGGUGAGUAACACGUGGGAAACCUGCCCAGAAGCGGGGGAUAACACCUGGAAACAGAUGCUAAUACCGCAUAACAACUUGGACCGCAUGGUCCGAGUUUGAAAGAUGGCUUCGGCUAUCACUUUUGGAUGGUCCCGCGGCGUAUUAGCUAGAUGGUGAGGUAACGGCUCACCAUGGCAAUGAUACGUAGCCGACCUGAGAGGGUAAUCGGCCACAUUGGGACUGAGACACGGCCCAAACUCCUACGGGAGGCAGCAGUAGGGAAUCUUCCACAAUGGACGAAAGUCUGAUGGAGCAACGCCGCGUGAGUGAAGAAGGGUUUCGGCUCGUAAAACUCUGUUGUUAAAGAAGAACAUAUCUGAGAGUAACUGUUCAGGUAUUGACGGUAUUUAACCAGAAAGCCACGGCUAACUACGUGCCAGCAGCCGCGGUAAUACGUAGGUGGCAAGCGUUGUCCGGAUUUAUUGGGCGUAAAGCGAGCGCAGGCGGUUUUUUAAGUCUGAUGUGAAAGCCUUCGGCUCAACCGAAGAAGUGCAUCGGAAACUGGGAAACUUGAGUGCAGAAGAGGACAGUGGAACUCCAUGUGUAGCGGUGAAAUGCGUAGAUAUAUGGAAGAACACCAGUGGCGAAGGCGGCUGUCUGGUCUGUAACUGACGCUGAGGCUCGAAAGUAUGGGUAGCAAACAGGAUUAGAUACCCUGGUAGUCCAUACCGUAAACGAUGAAUGCUAAGUGUUGGAGGGUUUCCGCCCUUCAGUGCUGCAGCUAACGCAUUAAGCAUUCCGCCUGGGGAGUACGGCCGCAAGGCUGAAACUCAAAGGAAUUGACGGGGGCCCGCACAAGCGGUGGAGCAUGUGGUUUAAUUCGAAGCUACGCGAAGAACCUUACCAGGUCUUGACAUACUAUGCAAAUCUAAGAGAUUAGACGUUCCCUUCGGGGACAUGGAUACAGGUGGUGCAUGGUUGUCGUCAGCUCGUGUCGUGAGAUGUUGGGUUAAGUCCCGCAACGAGCGCAACCCUUAUUAUCAGUUGCCAGCAUUAAGUUGGGCACUCUGGUGAGACUGCCGGUGACAAACCGGAGGAAGGUGGGGAUGACGUCAAAUCAUCAUGCCCCUUAUGACCUGGGCUACACACGUGCUACAAUGGAUGGUACAACGAGUUGCGAACUCGCGAGAGUAAGCUAAUCUCUUAAAGCCAUUCUCAGUUCGGAUUGUAGGCUGCAACUCGCCUACAUGAAGUCGGAAUCGCUAGUAAUCGCGGAUCAGCAUGCCGCGGUGAAUACGUUCCCGGGCCUUGUACACACCGCCCGUCACACCAUGAGAGUUUGUAACACCCAAAGUCGGUGGGGUAACCUUUUAGAACCAGC